CUGUCAAGGAUGUGGUCUCCU
Molecule: microRNA, 21 nt
Filed under: Picea abies (Norway spruce)
Lineage: Eukaryota; Viridiplantae; Streptophyta; Pinopsida; Pinales; Pinaceae
Description: pab-miR11469
Source: miRBase by way of RNAcentral